RNAcentral lists this long non-coding RNA (602 nucleotides) under Dromaius novaehollandiae (emu). RNAcentral's name for it is "lncRNA (ENSDNVG00000016396.1)". Lineage: Eukaryota; Metazoa; Chordata; Aves; Casuariiformes; Dromaiidae. The record is from RNAcentral.
UACAUAGACGCUAAAAUUACAUUCCAGGAAUAAUCUCUGAACAAGACAAGUUUUUGUUCUAUUAAUUGUGGCUGGAAGGAAACUUUUUUUAAUGGAAAUACAGUGCACACAUAUUUCAAUUCAGGUUAUUAAACUGUGUUAAGUAUUAAAGUUGAUUGCCUUUCUUUUCACUAACUCAUUGUGCUUUUUUAUCCAAAGAAAUAUUAGAAGACUAAAACCUCUCAAAUAGGAGGUAUUAAUCUCAUUCCCAAAAUUAGAAAGCAUGCAGUGUUGAGAGACUGGAUGUCAAAAUUACAUGUUCAUAGCACUUAUGCUUUGGGAAUCUAGGAACCAACCACUUUUAAAAUGGAAGCUAAAAUAAUCGGAAAGCCUUCUGAGAGUGAAGCAAGCUAAACUUGGUGUGCUUGUCCUUACUGGAUUCAGGGGCACCCUUUCAGAUAAAAACAUGGACCUGAUUGGCAUCAUCCUGUAUCCAUGGAAACGUUAGCUCUGCAAGAUUGGCAUUAUCCUGUAGUAGUGUCACAGCCUGCAGUCGUUUAAUGCUGCUUCUUGUGAGGCCAGGAUUCCACGCCCAAGUGCAUUUAGUAGGAAAAUACUUCUAA